Molecule: long non-coding RNA, 640 nt
Filed under: Citrus maxima (pomelo)
Lineage: Eukaryota; Viridiplantae; Streptophyta; Magnoliopsida; Sapindales; Rutaceae
Description: long non-coding RNA (CMAX_LNC003813)
Source: RNAcentral
AUUCCUAAUCCAAAACAGACUCAGAAAAGUCAGUUACUGCAGUGGAAUUAUUAUCUGUUUUAUAUAUAAGUAUUUUUAAGGAUUACAGAUCCAAAUAGGAUAUGGUUUAGGGAAUCCUUAAGACAACGGCUGCAGAGGCUUACUUGCAGGACAAGGGUUCUGUGUCUUUUAAAACUAAUCAGUGACAAGCCCUUUUUGGGUAACCGUAAUAAGGGACUAAGUAAUUCUGAAUUUAGAUAGUUGAAGUACAUAAUUAUGCACCCCAAGUGAAGUUGCAUCUAACAAGUGUGUAGAGAUAUAAAAUUAUCAAUAUUAAUGAUGAGAAAAUAAAAUUAACCAUACCCAGGACAAAAAUUUGAUGACAUAUCACUAGGAUUAAAAAACUAUGUACAACACUAUAAAUAUAACAUUUUGCUGAAACUCCAGCCUAUGCAUGUGUGUUACCAACGGGCUAUAAAAGACCAUUGGCCAAGUUCAUCAAUUUAAGUUAAAACUGAAGUCCUGAAUUGCUUUAGACCCACUGCACAGUUUUCUAUUCAAGUUGUUUUGUCCAAUCAAACGGUUCCCAGUCCCGCGCAAAAGUUGCAACCGCUUGCUUUUGCGUCUCCACAGAUUCAUGCCUCCUACGACGGUACAUGUC